CCUACGGGCGGCAGCAGUGGGGGAUAUUGCACAAUGGGGGGAACCCUGAUGCAGCGACGCCGCGUGAGUGAAGGAGUGCUUCGGCAUGUAAAGCCCUAUCGGCAGGGAAGAAGCAACACGGUACCUGACUAAGAAGCCCCGGCUAACUACGUGCCAGCAGCCGCGGUAAUACGUAGGGGGCGAGCGUUAUCCGGAUUCACUGGGUGUAAAGGGAGCGUAGACGGCCAUGCAAGCCUGAGGUGAAAGCCCAGGGCCCAACCCUGGGACUGCCCUGGGAACUGCAUGGCUUGAGUGCGGGAGGGGCAGGCGGAAUUCCUGGUGUAGCGGUGAAAUGCGUAGAUAUCAGGAGGAACACCGGCGGCGAAGGCGGCUUACUGGACAGCGACUGACGUUGAGGCUCGAAAGCGUGGGGAGCGAACAGGAUUAGAUACCCAUGUAGUC
RNAcentral lists this ribosomal RNA (441 nucleotides) under uncultured bacterium. Its description in RNAcentral is "partial 16S ribosomal RNA". It matches the Rfam family "Bacterial small subunit ribosomal RNA", at positions 338 to 795 of the family's 1533-position model. The record is from RNAcentral.